UAUGAUCUACCUUGGCACAAAGUUUAAGCUUAAUCAAUAACAUUUACAGUAAAAAAGAGAAAUUUCAUAUACGAAUGAUACUUUGUCUAAAUCACUAAAACUUAUCAAAUUAGAAUUUUUCUUAUAGAUUCUCUUAUUUUGUUUUGUCAAAUAAUAUGAGUUAACAUGAUGCGUAGAAGAGAUAACUUUAUUUAAAAUAAAGGGUAAAUAAUAAUGAAAAUGAUGAAUAAACAUUGUUAUUAUUCUUACAAUCUAUAUAAUAAGGAUGACGAAUUUACACGUGUUAUAUCAACCUGCCCUUUAUACCCAUGCCAUCGCUUUACUCGCUCCAUCACAACAAUCGCAUCCUGCUCCUUUCCUUUUGUAAUGUCAGAUCACAAUCACAAAUUAUUUUUCAUAUUAUAUUUCCUUUUCUAUCUUAUGAAGAUAUUCUUCUAUAAUUUCUUUUAUGCUUUAUAGGUCAAUUGUUUCCAUAGCUAUUUUUUCCCUUCUUCCUCCUACCACCGCCAAUUAUUUUCAUCUAUACCC
This 528-nucleotide long non-coding RNA is filed under the name Setaria viridis. RNAcentral's name for it is "long non-coding RNA (SVIR_LNC007420)". Lineage: Eukaryota; Viridiplantae; Streptophyta; Magnoliopsida; Poales; Poaceae. The record is from RNAcentral.